UAUUUAUUGGGGUGUGAGUGUUUUUGUUUUCCUCUCCACGUGCUUGCAAUAAAAAUGUUAAAGAAAGCAAAAAAUAAGUCAAUUUCUGAUGAAAUUUCGAGUUUAUUCACCAGAAAAUCCCUCGCGGAGUCAGACAGUGAUGGAGAGUUGAAUUUAGCAGAAUCAGUGGAGAUUCAAGGAGAGAAACAAGUGGGAGACAUCCAUAAACAAAAUGCACCUUUGCUUGAGGAAAUCAGCUCCAGAUACAAAGGAAUCCCAUCUUCCAGGGAUAUUGACAGUGAUUCUUCAGGAGAAGAAGAUGCAGAAGACAGUGAAGAUGAAGAAGAUGAGGAAGUGGAAGAGGAAGAAGAUGUUUCUGAAGGUGAAAGCGCAGAAGAUGAUGAAAGUGGAAGUGAAAGUGUCCAGGAAAUCUCUGGUGAGGCCGAUGCAGGAGAAACUACUCCAAAUAACAUUAAAUUAAUCUCUCAGAAGUCCAAGGAGAGUGAUGUCAAGGGACACUGCGUGAAAAAUCAGCUGAAAAUGUGGGAAAAUCUUUUGGAGGUUAGAAUACGUUCUCAGUCCCUGAUGACACUUUCCAAUCGCCUUCCCUUCCCGGAUACGUUCCGGGUGUUGCAAGAGUCUUCAGAAGAUUUCUCUUCUCUAGCCUCAGAGGUCCAGAACAAUCUCGCAAAUGUCCUAAAUCAACUGAUAGAAGCACAAAAUACCCUUAUUUCUGCCUUUCCGGACACAAGAGAUUCCCUCAAACGAGGGCUUUACAGUAAAGCUUCCCUCUCGGAAAAUGAAGAUGAUGAUCUAGAAGCCACCCCGAAGAAGCCAAAGCUUGAAUUCUCCUCAAAUACCAGCUCAGAGUCCUUCAGAAAAUUGUACAGGAAUGUUAUUGGGAAAUGGACUGAGAAAACAAACUUGGGAAAAUCUUCCGGAACCCCAAUUGAUCAAAUUGACAAGGUGCUGUCCAGGAAAAGUGAUCUUGUGGAGAACAGUAGGACUUGCAAAGGGAAUUAUAGCCUCUUCCGGGUGACUUCAGAAGAGAUUUCAGAAGAAUCUGGCAGGAAAAGUAGCCCUGAAGUUUACGAUGAUACUGAUUUUUACCAAGAAAUUCUCAGCGAGCUAAUAGAGGCAAAAUCUUCCCAGAACCUCGAUGGAAUCACUUCCAGUACUCUGCAGAAGAAAGCUAGAAACUCCACGAAAAAAAUUGUAGACACUAAAGCUUCGAAAGGACGAAGGAUAAGGUACGUCGUUCACAAGAAAAUGGUGAAUUUUAUGGCGCCGAAUCCGUAUUCUUCCUGGACCGAUGAAGCUAAAGAUGAGCUGUUCUCUUCAAUCUUUGGGGCCAAUCACUGAAACAGAAGUGUAUCUGCGCAAUUUGAAGGAGGAAAGGUGUUUGUGUGGAAAUUUGUAAAGCAAGAAGGAGACUUCAUCAAGUUGUCGUUACCACAGAAGUUCGAACAUGAUGUUCAUGUUUUCUCUUCAAUAACCAACCGGAUGAGUAAGCUGAAAAAGAAUAAUAGAAGAUUCAAUAGUGAAUGGGAAGAAAAAUUGUGAGAAAAGUUUUUUUUUUGAGAAAAAUAUGUAGAUAUUUUUGGAGUAAAAGAAUUUAGGAAAAAAGUGUAUAAUGUAAUUUAUAUAUGAGAGAAGUUGAAACUCUUGACACAUCUUCUUAACAAUUGAUUAAUUUUUUUUAUUUGUACACAUGAAUAUACCACACGAGAUGAUGAAAAAAUAAAUAAAUAAAUAAAAAAGUUCAUGGAGAAAAAAUGCCAUUGAAAAAAAUUUAUGACUUCUUAAAAAUGCUGGACACAAUUGAUUCUUUUGACUCUCAUCCAUGCCGUAUUUCCGUGUAAGAGAUGUUACAGAGAGAGGUGUAAGAAAAAAAUGCCACAGGAAUUUAUGGGUUAGGAACAUACUCAGACUUUCCAUCUAAGUUUUUAACGCAAGUAAAGUGUCUCUUGAGACACUUUGCAUCUUGACUUUUUUCUUUAAAUGUUAAAGUGUGAACAAAGUUGAAGAAAAAAUUGCAAGAUCGCCAUUUGAGCUUUUAAAAUGUCUCACACAGUUGGACUUGUAUAAAUAAUAUGGAGGAAAUUGAAGAAGCAAGAAGCUCUUGUGAAGUGUGAUAUUAAUCCGCGUGAUUCGGCGCUCAGCAUGGUUAAGAGAGUCGGAUAGUCAUCAGUGGCACAUUAGUGUCUAUCUCUUGAGUUGUGUGAUGGUUGGAUUAAGUGGUUAAUAUGACAAAUGCAGAUAACUCAAUUUCAUAUUCUCAACUUCAUAAAUGGAGAAUACUAAAACUGGGCUGUUUGUGGGACAUUUUUGAUGUUAUAAAGUCGUGUGUUAUGAGAUUACAUGAUAUUUUAAUAAUUUCAGAAAGUUAAUUUGCAAACCAUGCACUGUAAAUUCGAUAUUUUAUCGAUACGAUAGAUUUUGCAUAUUGAUGUGGUAUAAUCGUAUAGAAGGAGGGUAGCCAUUCG
RNA transcript from Phlebotomus papatasi, 2465 nucleotides. It is a transcript of the gene named protein Aatf, with no coding region annotated. The record is from RefSeq and is a predicted model, not a curated record. The transcript is spliced from 4 exons. NCBI's taxonomy places the organism in Eukaryota, Metazoa, Arthropoda, Insecta, Diptera, Psychodidae.